Long non-coding RNA from Oncorhynchus tshawytscha (Chinook salmon), 2606 nucleotides. Lineage: Eukaryota; Metazoa; Chordata; Actinopteri; Salmoniformes; Salmonidae. The record is from Ensembl.
GGUCCAGAGGUUUCCUGGUUAUGUUAACAUGGGGUAAAAAUUGCCCCACCACUCUGGGACCUAUGGUGCCACCAGUCUGACCGCUCUGGGACCUAUGGUGCCACCAGUCUGACCGCUCUGGGACCUAUGGUGCCACCAGUCUGACCGCUCUGGGACCUAUGGUGCCACCAGUCUGACCGCUCUGGGACCUAUGGUGCCACCAGUCUGCUUGCAGUUGUCAGUUAUCACCAGCUAAGUCCUCUCCUGUUCUCUAAAUAAGAGGUGCACCACUCCACUACCAUUGUCAACUCUCUCCUGACAUGAACUGAAGCCACGUCUCAUGUUCAUCCACUGGCACAUUGAAUGUUUCCUCUCCAACCACUUCAAAUCCUGUCCUGCACUGAAGUCAAGCCUCUGAACACCCGAACUCAUGCCUCACACAAUCACAACUGUGAUCUCUUCCCAACACGAUUUUUCACGUCACCAGCCUCCACUGGACUACAGACGGUAUCUUGAUGCAUGUAAGGAUAAAUCGACCAAAAACAGUGUGACCUCCCCCCAGCCAGCUGAAGUAAUGGAAAAAAUGGCGUUCACUACGGCCCUGUCCUGCACCACUUCUACCGUGAGACCUGUACACAGCAUCCAGUCGACGCUAUCAACUGCCUUUUCUCUCACGAGUGUGACAAGAGUCCAUGUGGAGUGAGCACGGAGAGAGAUCCCGUCCAAACUUGCGGUCUCAUGUGUCCUGGGAGGAAAAUGGACAAGACAUAAUGGACUGUAAAGGACAUUGGAGGCUCAGGUGACAGACAUUAUCAAGGGCCAUCCACCUUGAACAUGUGCUAUUGGGAGGAUGAACUGAAACACUAUCUGAAGCAGAACAUGAAGAAACGCCAGAAGAAGAGUACCCGGGGAAGGAGGGUGGCUGUCAACUGUGCCUGUAAAUGGUUUAUUCCACGUGUAACUGUGCUGUUGUUUGUGUCGCACUGCUUUGCUUUAUAUUGGCCAGCUCGCAGUUGUAAAUGAGAACUUGUUCUCAACAAGCUUACCUGCUUAAAUAAAAAAUAAAAAAUGGAUUUACUGUUGAUAAACUGUUUAUUUGGGCUAUCAUGUUGAUUUUGGAAGUCUACACACUGAGAAGCUUAUUGUAAUGUAGAUAAAAAUUAAUUGGGAUACCGAUCUGUCAUUAACAUGCCACUCACAACAGUGUAAGAUGGGGACAAACAGUAAUGAGAACAGUUAAUACUGGAAAUAUAAGUAGUACAUACUGUCUAUAUAUGGUUCCCUGUUUGUAAAUGUACAUUCUAACUGUGUCGUUGUGUGCUAAGUUGAGGGUCUUGAAUUUGAGUGAUAGACCCAAAGUGGGGCACUGAAGACUGACAUUAUACAUUUGGGUUGUAUAACAUUGAUCGUAGGGUGCAAACAUGUUAUGGGUAGAUGGAAGGAUUUAUGUGCAAAUGCCGGAGGCUAAGUACAUACAUAUAUGUUUGCAUAAGGGUGUUAGUUGCAGAGAUAGUUUUGUCAUUUCAGACACUAUUGUGACACUAUUGUGUCCCAGAAGGGAAGUUGGCUGUAGUAGUAGUAGUAGCAUCACAUCUCCUGCAGAGGGCGCCAAACGAUAGGUGACCAUUGCUGUACAUUCAUACCCCAGGGUGACUAUUGUAGUGGAGCAUCUGAAAGAACUCAGCGGUGAUCUCGCAAACGAACACCAACCAGACAACAAUUGGAAUCCGUUUGGAUGGGUUCAGUCAUUGUUUGGUGUUAGGGGGGCUACAAAAUUUCAUUGGUUGAUUACAUAUCUGAUAAAGAUGAUAAUCCUGAUCACCGAAAACCCUGAAUUAAUGGUGCAGCAUGUCCAUAGGCCAUGCUCAUUGCGGGGGUUCUGUAAACGGUGCUCCCAAGGUAGUGUUACCGUCAUGGUGACCCGCGGCAAUGUGGACAGUGUCAACGAAGUGAUUGCCUUGUGUGUGGUGAUAAAGAAUGUACUGAUGUUUAACAUUCAUAUGUUCCUUUCCCCCUUCUGAGAAUGAAUUGCAUGUGAAGUUUUGAAACUCAAUGACAAAGGUAAUUUACAAUUUUAAUGUACUAAGUGUAAGAAAGUAUUUCAUUUUCCCUCUUUCCAAACCAUGUUAGUGCUUGUUUGAUGAAAAUGUUUGUAAGUAAUUUUCCAUUAGGUUGAGACUUGGUCUCAAAAGGGAGGAAUUGUGGUGGAAAAAUGUUUUACUCCUUCGAGAAUUGUCUCGUGUUAUAUCUUUUUUUUCUAACCUGAUACAAACUUGUCUUUGUGUGACUUAGUGGAAAAAGGGCGUAUAUCUAAGACAGGGCGUAUAGCUAAGAUCCGUUUGGGUGUGACCACAGCAUGUGAUACAUUGCAUGUUUUUACUAUCUGCAGGAAGUCAGCUGAAUAGACAUUUUCAGAAAGGAGAACAUUACUGUGUGAGCUAUGAUAAAUGCAGUUAGACGUUUGAGCCCUCGUGUUAUCUUAAUCUGCACAGACAAACCAAUCGCCUUGUACACACUGUUUCCGCCCCUGUUUCCACACAUCUUCUAAACUGCCACGAAGACAAAAAUGUUGUACUUUCUAUAAAAGCGGAGAGCCAACUCUGUUCGUUGGGCUUUUAACACUGCAC